Molecule: long non-coding RNA, 3845 nt
Organism: Equus caballus (horse)
Lineage: Eukaryota; Metazoa; Chordata; Mammalia; Perissodactyla; Equidae
Source: Ensembl
CUCCCCUGCAUUGUUAACUUGCUUUGUGGUUAGAGAUUAACCAUAGUGUCUACAAGUGGAGCUGGCAGGUGUAUUUUCCUUAAUAGGUCAAAUGCUUCCCAACUGUCCUUGGCAAUAACUAAACAGAAAGGGCAUUUUCUGCCCAAGGUUCAAGGAAAAGAGGCAUAACAUUUAGUUAGAAAAUAUGGAAGGUUUAUAUGGCUCAUUAGAUGAACUCUUGUGCCAAAUCUGAAAGAAGUCGUGUUGAGAGACAGCCCUGGGCUGGGACUGCCAGGCAAGUGUGUGAAGGCUUCUGCUGCUUUGUAAACAGAAUAACCAUUGAUUUUGAUUUUCUACACACUUGUGCCAAGAAAAGUCACAAGCCUAAAAGACAAAGUUGGACUCUAGGAAAUUAGGUAGGAGGAUUAAUGCUGCUGAUUUUCUGUGGAAAACUACUGCUUCCCAUGUGAACCAGGAUGUGCGGAAGUAAAACUCAUCUCCACUUGGACCGGCUGCAUUUCCAGUGUUCGUCAGUCCUCCGUGGGCAGCGGCUGCUGCGUGAGCCCAGCUCCAGUGUCUGUAGACCAGCGGUUAACACAUACACGCUUCACCGCACAACUUUCCAUAGCCAUUGACAUGCUGGCGUGCACCGUGCACGCUUAGGCAACACCAUUUGGCACUACCCCACGUGACACUCUUAGGAAAAACUUCUUUACGCCAUUGGGUUUUGAAGACACGGGUGAUAAAUGACUUAGAGCCCCGGAUUUUACUCCCACCUCUGCCACUUACCAGGGAGUCAGUAUCACACCGGACACUUAACCUUCUUAAAUUUGUCCCCUCAUCUGAAAAAUGGAACCUUUACUGAUGAUGUGCAGGGGUGCUCUGACGGCUGAAUGAGAGCACAAGCAGAGCAUCAUGGGAAGAGCCUGGUACCCAGGAGCCUGAGGUGCAGACCAGACGUGGGGCUCAGAGAGAAGAAAGGCCAGUUCAUUCUGGCGCCAAGCUUUCCCCUCCACCUCAGCCAGAAAACUCUUUAAUUAUUAGACUUCACGUGAGCUUCCUUUUGAAGAAAAAGAUACACAGUUAAAAUGAAUUGGUAAUUUACUGUAAUAGGGAAUUUAAGAAUGGAGUAAAAAAUAUGCCCAGGCCUGCAAAAAGUUCUGUUUAUUGGAGGUUAAUUGCCUUGUGAAGUGGGUUGCUAGAAGUGGUCCCUUAUAUAGACAGGUACGUAUGUCUGUCAAAAAGGGAAACACAGGUUAUACUCCAGAGGAGUGAUGGAAAACGAGUCCUGUGCGAAUUAGAUAGACGAAUUUGCUGCUGUGGGGAUGGGCCACGUGCCACAAGCUGCAGGACUGACGAUGCAGUACUGUUUAUUUUUUUUGUUUGAAUGAGUGCAUUUUUAUUCAUAGACCAAUAUAAUUUUGAAGCUGGAAGGAACUCAGACAUCUAUUCCUUCUUCAAUUUAUCUUUUUAUUGAGAUAUAAUUGACAUAUAUUAGUUUCAGGUGUACAAGGGAAUGAUUGAUAUUUGUAUACGUUGUGAAAUGAUCACAAUAGGACUAGUUGACAUCCAUGACCAGACAAAGUUACAGAACUCUUUUUUUCUUGUAAUGAGAACAUUUAAGAUCUACUCUCUUAGCAACUUUCAAAUAGACAAUGCAGUGUUCUUAACUGCAGUCACCAUGCUGUGCAUUACAUCCCACGACGUAUUUAUUUUCUAACUGUAAGUUUGUACCUUUUGACCUCUUUCACCCAUUUCGCCCACCCCCAACCUCCACCUCUGGCAACCACCAACCUGUUCUCUGUUAUCCAUGAAUGUGGGAUUUUUUUCUUUGAUUUUUGCUUGUUUGUUUUGCGUGUGUGUGUAAGGAAGUUGGCCUGAGCUAACAUCUGUUGCCAUUCUUUCUCUUUUCCCUUGAAGAAGAUUGUCGCUGAGUUAACAUCUGUGCCAAUCUUCCUCUAUUUUAUGUGGGAUGCUGCCACAGCAUGGCUUGACGAGUGGUGCUGGUUCUGCACCCAGGAUCCGAAGCUGGGACCCCCGGGCCACUGAAGUGGAGUGUGUGAACUUAACCGUCAUGCAACCGGGCUGGCCCUGUUGUUGUGUUUUUUAGAUUUCAUAUAUAUGUGAGAUCAUAUGGCAUUUCUCUUUCUCUGAUUUAUUUCACUUAACAUAAUGCCCUCAAAGUCCAUCUAUGUUUUUGUGAAUGGCAGGAUUUUCUUCUUUUAUAUGGCUUAAUAAUAUUCCAUUGUGUGGGAGUAUGUAAUAUAUAUACCUUACAUAUAUAUAUACACACACAUUACAUAUAUGUUAUGUAUGUACAUAUGCAUGUACACAUAUGUAAUGUGAUACAUAUAUCACAUUUUCUUUAUCCAUUCAUCCAGCAAUGGGUGCUUCCCACCAGUGGGUUGCUUCCACGUCUUGGCUACUGUAAGUGCUGCUGCUAUCAACAUGGGGGUGCAGGUAUUUCUUUCACAUAGCGUUAUUGUUUCCUUCAGACAUAUUCCCAGAAGCGAAAUUACUAGACCAUAUAGAUCAAUUUUUAACUGAUUCCAUAGUGGCUGCACCAGUUUACAUUCCCACCAGUGGUGCACACGAGUUCCCUUUUCUCCACGUCCUCGCCAAUGCUCAUUAUUUCUUCUCUUCUUGAUAAGAGCUAUUUUAACAGGUAUGAGACAAAAGCUCACUGUAGUUUUGAUUUGCAUUUCCCUAAUGAUUAGUGAUGCUGAGCAACUUUUCCUAGGCCUGUUGGCCAUCCAUAUCUUCUUUGGCAAAAUGUCUAUUCAGAUCCUCUGCCUAUUUUUUAAUUGGAUUUUGUGAUUUUUGCUAUUGAGUUGCCUGAGUUCUUUAUAUAUUUUUGAUAUAUAUUUUGGAUAUUAACCUCUUAUCAGAUAUUGGGUUUGCAAAUACUUUCUCUCAUUUUGUACCUUGCCUUUUCCUUUUGUCGGUGGUUUCCAUUUCCGUGCAGGAGAUUUUUAGUUAGUUGUUUUGCUCAUCUAUUUUUGCUUUUGUUGACUCUGCUUUUGGUGUCAAAUCCAAAAAAUCAUCUCCAAGACUGAAGUCAAGUUGCUUACCAUGUAUGUUUUCCUCUAGGAGUUUUAUGGUUUCAGGUCUUACAUUCAAGUCUUUAAUCCAUUUUGAGUUGAUUUUUGUGUAGGGUGUAAGAUAGGGGUCCAAUUUCAUUCUUUUGGCUGUCCAGUUUUCCAACACCAUUUAUUGAAGAGACUGCCAUUUCUUUUGUUGUUGUUGUUUUGAGGAAGAUUAGCCCUGAGCUAACAUCUGCCAAUCCUCCUCUUUUUGCUGAGGAAGCCUGGCCCUGAGCUAACAUCCGUGCCCAUCUUCCACUACUUUAUGUGUGGGAUGCCUACCAUAGCAUGGUGUGCCAAACGGUGCCAUGUCCGCCACCUGGAUUCGAACCGGCGAACCCUGGACUCCCGAGAAGCGGAACGUGCAAACUUAACUGCUUCACCACCGGGCCGGCCCCCAGACUGCCAUUUCUUCAUUGCAUAUUCUUUGCUUCUUUUUUAUAAAUUAAUUGACAUAUAUGCAUUGGUUAAUUUCUUGGCUUUCUAUUCUGUUCCAUUGAUCUAUGUGUAUGCUUUUAUGCCAGUGCCAUACUGUUUUGAUUCCUAUAGCUUUGUAAUGUAGUUUGAAAUCAGGGAGCAUGCUGCCUCCAGCUUUGUUCUUCUUUCUCAAGACUGCUUUGGCUCUUCAGGGUCUUUGUGGUUCCAUACAAAUUUUAGGAUUGUUUGUUCUAUUUCUUUGAAAAAUGCCAUUGAAAUUUUGAUAGGGACUGCAUUGAAUCUGUAGAUUGCUUUGGGUACUGUUUUAACAAUAUUAAUUUGUCCAAUCCAUAAGCACGGAAUAAC